CUGAGCACUUGUACCCUGAGUCUGUUCACUGUUACUGACCAUUUGCCUGGCUUAUGACUACUCCUAUUGGAUUCUCUACUUUGCCCCGUUAGCCAAUAAUACGACCUUCUGCCUGUUUUCGGAUCAUCAUUUUGGAUGACCUCUAUUGCCCUGUCUGCCUGAAUACCGAUCUCUGCCUGUUUCUGGACUACCCUGUUUCCUAAUAAAACCCUCUGCACUUGGAUCCCUCCUGAGUCUGGUCUGGUUUCAGGAACACUGACUUCUUGAACUGUUCCCACGUCAUACCCGAUUUGAAAGGAAGAUGGAGAAAGAAGAAACAGAAUUAAAGACACAUUUAAAAAAAAGAACAAGUUCUCCAUUGAUCUGGACGGACGCCAGGUCUUUCCAUCCAAACAGAAACAUCCAAGAGCUGUACCUCACUGCAGAGCAGAGCUUAAACAAACAGCAGUGACAUAUCCAGCUCUGCCCCUCUCCUCCUCCACCACUCUCCCCUUACACUGAGGAUUUAUGAGGAGUUCCUGUUCGUCAGAGCGAGGGGAGUUCCUGCUUCGGCCCCGUCCUCGCCCCAGAGCCUGUUGAUCAUCCGCGCAGUGGUGAAGUCUGGGAUUAUUGCUUCUGACGUUGACAUCUCUGGAUGAUUUCAGCUGAUCUAGGCGUGGUUCCAGACGACCUCAGCACUGGUGACCCGAGGAGAGGGUCACACAUACUGGGCUGGUCCCUGAGGGGCCGUGGGGAGGGGGGGUGUCCACACCUUCCCUGGACGCACACACCAACACCCCCACCUAAAUCUGAUAACAAUUACUACAUGGAGUUUUGCAAAUGAUUCUACCUCCCCUUACUGGGGCCUACAUCUGGAGUUCCUCAACAGAGAGAGAGAAUGUAUGUGUGUGUUUCGAUGUGUACAUGUAUUCUUUUUUUUCAAGGCCCUAAAAUAUAUAUGUAAGGCCAUAAAAACAGAUGACAGACAUCCACAACUGCACUCUCAUGAAGCCACCAUCUUUAGAGCCAGUCGCAUAUCAGCC
Molecule: long non-coding RNA, 1022 nt
Organism: Osmerus eperlanus (European smelt)
Lineage: Eukaryota; Metazoa; Chordata; Actinopteri; Osmeriformes; Osmeridae
Exons: 3
Source: RefSeq, a predicted model, not a curated record